Molecule: ribosomal RNA, 566 nt
Filed under: uncultured beta proteobacterium
Lineage: Bacteria; Pseudomonadati; Pseudomonadota; Betaproteobacteria
Description: bacterial SSU rRNA
Rfam family: Bacterial small subunit ribosomal RNA
Source: RNAcentral
CAGCCGCGGUAAUACACCAGGGUGCAAGCGUUAAUCCUUUUAACUGGGCGUAAAGCGUGCGCAGGCGGCUUUGUAAGACAGGAGUGAAACCCCCGGGCUUAACCUGGGAAUGGCGCUUGUGACUGCAACGCUGGAGUGCGGCAGAGGGGGAUGGAAUUCCGCGUGUAGCAGUGAAAUGCGUACAUAUGCGGAGGAACACCGAUGGCGAAGGCAAUCCCCUGGGCCUGUCUGAUGCUCCUGCACAAAAGCGUGGGGAGCAAACAGGAUUAGAUACCCUGGUAGUCCACGCCCUAGACGAUGUCAACUGGUUGUUGGGUCUCUUCUGACUCAGUAACUUAGCUAACGCGUGAAGUUGACCGCCUGGGGAGUACGGCCGCAAGGUUGAUACUCAAAGGAAUUGACGGUGACCCGCACAAGUGGUGGAUGAUGUGGUUUAAUUCGAUGAAAUGCUAAAAACCUUACCUACCUUUGACAUGUACGGAAUUUGCCAUAGAUGUUUUACUGCUCGAAACACAGCCGCAACUCAGGUGUUGCAUGGCUGUUUUCAGCUCGUGUCGUGACACGUU